AUGGCUCAGGAUGAACGCUAGCGGCAGGCUUAACACAUGCAAGUCGAGGGGCAUCGGGAGUAGCAAUACUUGCCGGCGACCGGCGCAAGGGUGCGUAACGCGUGAGCAACAUGCCCGUAUCAGGGGGAUAAUCCAUGGAAACGUGGUCUAAUACCCCAUAGUAAUUAUGUAAGGCAUCUUAUAUAAUUUAAAGCUUUGGUGGAUACGGAUUGGCUCGCGUGACAUUAGCUGGAUGGUAAGGUAACGGCUUACCAUGGCUACGAUGUCUAGGGGUUCUGAGAGGAAGGUCCCCCACACUGGAACUGAGACACGGUCCAGACUCCUACGGGAGGCAGCAGUGAGGAAUAUUGGACAAUGGAUGGAAAUCUGAUCCAGCCAUGCCGCGUGCCAGGAAGACGGCCCUAUGGGUUGUAAACUGCUUUUGUAUGGGAGCAAUAGGGGCUACGUGUAGUCCGAUGAGAGUACCAUACGAAUAAGCACCGGCUAACUCCGUGCCAGCCGCAGC
This 505-nucleotide ribosomal RNA is filed under the name uncultured bacterium. RNAcentral describes it as "bacterial SSU rRNA". It matches the Rfam family "Bacterial small subunit ribosomal RNA", at positions 19 to 518 of the family's 1533-position model. The record is from RNAcentral.